ACAGCAGUCGCCACGGUAAUACGAAGGGUGCAAGCGUUAAUCGGAAUUACUGGGCGUAAAGCGUGCGUAGGCGGUGAGUUAAGUCUGCUGUGAAAUCCCCGGGCUCAACCUGGGAAUUGCAGUGGAUACUGGAUCACUAGAGUGUGGUAGAGGAUAGUGGAAUUUCCGGUGUAGCAGUGAAAUGCGUAGAGAUCGGAAGGAACAUCUGUGGCGAAGGCGGCCCCCUGGACAAAGACUGACGCUCAGGUGCGAAAGCGUGGGGAGCAAACAGGAUUAGAUACCCCAGUAGUCCCUGUCUCUUAUAC
This 305-nucleotide ribosomal RNA is filed under the name uncultured bacterium. RNAcentral describes it as "partial 16S ribosomal RNA". It matches the Rfam family "Bacterial small subunit ribosomal RNA", at positions 505 to 807 of the family's 1533-position model. The record is from RNAcentral.